CCUACGGGUGGCUGCAGUGAGGAAUAUUUGUCAAUGGCCGGAAGGCUGAACCAGCCAAGUCGCGUGAGGGAAUAAGGCCCUAUGGGUCGUAAACCUCUUUUGUCAGGGAGCAAAGGCGUCCACGUGUGGACGAGAGGAGAGUACCUGAAGAAAAAGCAUGGGCUAACUCCGUCCCAGCGGCCGCGGUAAUACGGAGGACGCGAGGUUUAUCCGGAUUGAUUGGGUUUAAGGGGGGCGUAGGCGGUGUGUCAAGCCGGCGGUAAAAUUUCGGGGCUCAACCCCGUCGUGCCGUUGAAACUGACGCCCUUGAGUGAGUGAGAAGUAAGCGGAAUGCGUGGUGUAGCGGUGAAAUGCAUAGAUAUCACGCAGAACGCCGAUUGCGAAGGCAGCUUACCGACGCUCAACUGACGCUGAGGCACGAAAGUGCGGGUAUCGAACAGGAUUAGAUACCCUAGUAGUC
Molecule: ribosomal RNA, 460 nt
Filed under: uncultured bacterium
Lineage: Bacteria
Description: partial 16S ribosomal RNA
Rfam family: Bacterial small subunit ribosomal RNA
Source: RNAcentral